Molecule: non-coding RNA, 272 nt
Organism: Maylandia zebra (zebra mbuna)
Lineage: Eukaryota; Metazoa; Chordata; Actinopteri; Cichliformes; Cichlidae
Source: RefSeq, a predicted model, not a curated record
UUAAGCAUGUUUGAAUGAAAACAUCAGCAUAUGAACACAAAACUGAAGAGACACUGCAACCGAAUGAAAGCAGACCACUAUUUAGUGACAUUUGGACGUUUCCCUGAGGAUUAACUGCUGUGUAAUCUACCAAGAACUAAAUCAAAAUGAGUGCAAGUGGAGACGGACCACAAAAUAACCAAAACGGCCAACAGGUUAACCCACGAAUGUUGGCAAAUGGAGAUCAGGAACCUGCUAAUGGCUUCCUGAACAGACUGUAUCGCGCUCUCCAU